Molecule: ribosomal RNA, 1108 nt
Filed under: uncultured Bacteroides sp.
Lineage: Bacteria; Pseudomonadati; Bacteroidota; Bacteroidia; Bacteroidales; Bacteroidaceae
Description: bacterial SSU rRNA
Rfam family: Bacterial small subunit ribosomal RNA
Source: RNAcentral
UCUUGGCCAGCCUUCUGAAAGGAAGAUUAAUCCAGGAUGGCAUCAUGAGUUCACAUGUCCGCAUGAUUAAAGGUAUUUUCCGGUAGACGAUGGGGAUGCGUUCCAUUAGAUAGUAGGCGGGGUAACGGCCCACCUAGUCAACGAUGGAUAGGGGUUCUGAGAGGAAGGCCCCCCACAUUGGAACUGAGACACGGUCCAAACUCCUACGGGAGGCAGCAGUGAGGAAUAUUGGUCAAUGGGCGAUGGCCUGAACCAGCCAAGUAGCGUGAAGGAUGACUGCCCUAUGGGUUGUAAACUUCUUUUAUAAAGGAAUAAAGUCGGGUAUGCAUACCCGUUUGCAUGUACUUUAUGAAUAAGGAUCGGCUAACUCCGUGCCAGCAGCCGCGGUAAUACGGAGGAUCCGAGCGUUAUCCGGAUUUAUUGGGUUUAAAGGGAGCGUAGAUGGAUGUUUAAGUCAGUUGUGAAAGUUUGCGGCUCAACCGUAAAAUUGCAGUUGAUACUGGAUGUCUUGAGUGCAGUUGAGGCAGGCGGAAUUCGUGGUGUAGCGGUGAAAUGCUUAGAUAUCACGAAGAACUCCGAUUGCGAAGGCAGCCUGCUAAGCUGCAACUGACAUUGAGGCUCGAAAGUGUGGGUAUCAAACAGGAUUAGAUACCCUGGUAGUCCACACGGUAAACGAUGAAUACUCGCUGUUUGCGAUAUACGGCAAGCGGCCAAGCGAAAGCGUUAAGUAUUCCACCUGGGGAGUACGCCGGCAACGGUGAAACUCAAAGGAAUUGACGGGGGCCCGCACAAGCGGAGGAACAUGUGGUUUAAUUCGAUGAUACGCGAGGAACCUUACCCGGGCUUAAAUUGCACUCGAAUGAUCCGGAAACGGUUCAGCUAGCAAUAGCGAGUGUGAAGGUGCUGCAUGGUUGUCGUCAGCUCGUGCCGUGAGGUGUCGGCUUAAGUGCCAUAACGAGCGCAACCCUUGUUGUCAGUUACUAACAGGUGAUGCUGAGGACUCUGACAAGACUGCCAUCGUAAGAUGUGAGGAAGGUGGGGGAUGACGUCAAAUCAGCACGGCCCUUACGUCCGGGGCUACACACGUGUUACAAUGGGGGGGUACAGA